RNAcentral lists this ribosomal RNA (474 nucleotides) under uncultured bacterium. RNAcentral's name for it is "SSU rRNA". It matches the Rfam family "Bacterial small subunit ribosomal RNA", at positions 26 to 518 of the family's 1533-position model. The record is from RNAcentral.
AGGAUGAACGCUGGCGGCGUGCCUAACACAUGCAAGUCGAACGUCCUGUCUCGCAAGAGGCAGGGAGUGGCGGACGGGUGAGUACCACGUGGGUUAUCUACCGUGAGGUGAGGAAUACCGGCGAGAAAUCGCCGACAAGACCGCAUAGCCUCGGUGCAAGCCGAGGAAAGCUUUCUCGAGAGAGGGUGCGCCACACGAGGAGCCUGCGCCCGAUUAGCUAGCUGGUGGAGUAACGGUUCACCAGGGCGACGAUCGGUAGCUGGUCUGAGAGGACGAUCAGCCACACUGGGAUUGAGAACGGCCCAGACUCCUACGGGGGGCAGCAGUGAGGAAUUUUCGUCAAUGGGGGCAACCCUGAACGAGCAACGCCGCGUGCAGGAAGAAGGUUUUCGGAUCGUAAACUGCUUUUCGUCGGGAAGAGAACGGACGGUACCCGAGGAAUCGAGCCCCGGCUAACUACGUGCCAGCAGCCGC